AUUUUGUAAUAACAAAUGCAACAUUUUUCUUGUACUAUGCAUUUCUGGGGGUGUCUCCUCUACUCCUGUUCUUUCCUAAGACAGGCUCACGGUAUUCCAACCAGAGAGGUAAAAUUAUAAUUAUGUGCCUACCUACCACCCAGGGUGUUUACGUGGCCUCAUAACUGAUCUGCAGGUUCAGUGAUCUGAGAGACAAACUUCACCGGCUUUCAAACAUUUUGGUCUCGGGAAUCCUUGAUACUCUUAAAAUCAUUGAGGAUUCCAAAGAACUUGUGUUAUUUACCACAUUAGAAAUAAAAACUUUAACUAUUUAAUAAUUUAAAAAAGAAUCACAAGACCACAAAAUGUUAACAUAAUAUUUAACGAUGAAAAAUGAUUAUAUUUUGCAACACAAACAGUGAGAAGAGUGGCAUCAUUCUACAUGUGUAACAAUCUCUUUAAUGUCUGACUUAAUAGAAGACAGCUGGGUUCUCAUAUUUGCUUCUGCAUUUCAUCUCUUGUGAAAUGUUGUUUUGAUUGAAGUGUAUCUAGAAAAUCCAGCUUCACACAGACAUGUCGUUGGAAAAGUGAGGAGUAUUAUAACAGCCUUUUCAGAUCGUCGUGGAUAUUUUUCUUUGAUACUGCACCAAAGCUCGACAAGUGGUUAGUUUCUUAAAGGUUAUUUUCAAUGUGAAAUCUGAAAGUACUAUCAAUGAACUUUUUGUAGUUUGUUAUAUUAAAAUCCAUAGGCACGUCUUGUACUUUGAUGAAUCUUUUACCCGUGCAUGAUUUUGUAAUUUCACAUACUGGUCUUUUGGAAAUUGUUGGUUCAUUGAGUUGUGCAUAUCAUUAUACAAUAUAAAAAAAAUCACAUUCAUUAAUUAUGACACCGAUGUCGUAAGAAGAGCACUUAAGCAUUGGGAAGCUGUGAAGUUCACAGUGAUAGAUACAAGUUUUCCAAAAUUUUAAUUUUUACUUGAAAGCUCAAAUUUUAUCAUUGGCAACAAUGCUGUCAUUUUUUCCCCCUUGAGGUUACGGAUUCACUUUGUUUAUUUUCGAGAAAACACCAAAUAUUCAAGUCUGAAUAAACCAUGGUUUGUUUGCCAAUUGUUCUUUCAAAUAGAAAUGGUGUUUGGUGAAACAAGGUGCAAGUGAGUAGUCUGGUCUGCAACUCAAUGGCUAAAGUAUGAGGAAAUACCCGUGCUUCUCUCUUCAGUCAGUAUGCAUGAAAAGUGCUUCAUGCACUUUUUGUUAACAUAGAAUAGUAAAAAGACUCAUACUCAAGGGUUGAACUUUAAUAAAAUCAAUAAGUUCUACUGAUUCAUCAAGGACUUUUUUUUAACGUUUAUUUUUGAGAGAGCACAAGCAGGGGAGGGGCAGAGAAAGAGGGAGACACAGAAUCUGAAGAAGGCUCCAGGCUCCCAGCUGUCAGCACAGAGCACGACGACGCGGGGCUCAAACUCCAGAACCCUAAGAUCAUGACCUGAGCCGAAGUCGGAAGCUUAACCCACUGAGCCACCAAGGCCCCCAUCAAGGACAUUCUUAAAUGAAACUGGCUUUCCUCCCUGCACCGUGUUUCCAUAAGCGAAGGUGCAAGAUUCACAUGUAUAUGCAUGUAUACGGACCCAAACGGGACAAAGCAAUUCCCCUACAUGGCAGGGAGAGCGCCGUGAGAAGACAUCAGAGACCUGGGUGACACAGCCAAGGAACACCAAAGAUUGGCAGCAAACCACCAAAAGCCAGGAGAGAGGCACAGAACACAUUCUCGCAGCCCUCAGAAGGAGCCAACCCUGCAGAAACCCUGGUCUCAGACUUCUAGCCUCCAGAGCUGUGACACAAUACAUUUCUGUUGUUUAAGCCAUCCAGUUUGUGUUACUUUGUUACAAAUGCCCUUGCAAAAGAAUAUAUGGUAUGACUGGGCUCAAACAAAGGUA
Neofelis nebulosa (Clouded leopard) is the source of this 1913-nucleotide long non-coding RNA. RefSeq lists it as uncharacterized. Lineage: Eukaryota; Metazoa; Chordata; Mammalia; Carnivora; Felidae. The transcript has 3 exons. The record is from RefSeq and is a predicted model, not a curated record.